This 389-nucleotide ribosomal RNA is filed under the name uncultured Nitrospina sp. RNAcentral's name for it is "bacterial SSU rRNA". It matches the Rfam family "Bacterial small subunit ribosomal RNA", at positions 29 to 410 of the family's 1533-position model. The record is from RNAcentral. Lineage: Bacteria; Pseudomonadati; Nitrospinota; Nitrospinia; Nitrospinales; Nitrospinaceae.
AACGAACGCUGGCGGUGUGCUUAACACAUGCAAGUCGAACGAGAAAGUUUCCUUCGGGAAGCGAGUAAAGUGGCGCAAGGGUGAGUAACACGUGAAUAAUCUACCCUCGAGACUGGGAUAACCUGGUGAAAACUAGGCUAAUACCGGAUAAGACCACGUCCCGCAAGGGAUGCGGGAAAAGGAGGCUCAACCUCCACUUGUGGAUGAGUUCGCGGACCAUUAGCUUGUUGGUGAGAUAACAGCUCACCAAGGCUACGAUGGUUAGCCGGCCUGAGAGGGUGAACGGCCACACUGGAACUGAGACACGGUCCAGACUCCUACGGGAGGCAGCAGUGGGGAAUCUUGCACAAUGGGGGAAACCCUGAUGCAGCGAUGCCGCGUGAGUGAAG